Molecule: long non-coding RNA, 225 nt
Organism: Sebastes umbrosus (honeycomb rockfish)
Lineage: Eukaryota; Metazoa; Chordata; Actinopteri; Perciformes; Sebastidae
Exons: 2
Source: RefSeq, a predicted model, not a curated record
CUUGUGGAUCCAAUGAGCCCAACUGUAUUCAUCUCUUGCAGAAAUCUCCAAAUGUCAAAAUGUUUUGAUACCAAAUCACAGCAUGACUUUUUCUAUGGUGUUCCUUAGGUCUUGGCGUCUUAAUGUGGGAUUUUGGAGGGGUUAUUGAUCAUUUUUUAUCAAUUAUUGUGUGGGAAAAAAUGGUUAAAUUUAGCACCAAAUCUGUGUAACAAAUGGUAUCAACCC